RNAcentral lists this unclassified non-coding RNA (361 nucleotides) under Hevea brasiliensis (rubber tree). Lineage: Eukaryota; Viridiplantae; Streptophyta; Magnoliopsida; Malpighiales; Euphorbiaceae. The record is from RNAcentral.
UCCUCUCUCAUAGCAUCACACCAGUCGUGAUUGGAUAAUGCCUUACUAACAGUUUUGGAAAUGUGGAUAGAGUAUAAAGAAGUAACAAAACACUGAGAAUAAAAAGACAACUGAUUAUAAGAAACAAAAGAUGAACUAGGAUAAUUAUACGUGCAUUUACCUUUACGAAGAGUAAUUGGUAAAUCAAGGUCCGAAUCAGGACCAGAAGCAGGAAUUGGAUCUCCCAACGAAGAAGCCAGUACAGAGUUUGAGUCUGAGUCUUAGAUCUCUUCCAUCCUCCUAGGAAAGGUCCUGGAAUAAACAUGAAUUGGUGGUUUAGGCCAAACUGGUAUUGAGUUGAAGGAUCAGAUGAUGGGAGAGG